AGUACGUCAUUGUCUGUCACAGUUGAAGAGUUGUAGUUCUUCUAUGUGGGACCCCACCUCAGCACGGCAUGAUGAGCGGUUAUUACCUCUGACUACCUCUAAUGGAGUGAACCCCAGAGUCACCAGUAGAAAUGAGGUUAAGUUUAGUCAGGGAGAAGGUGUGGUCUGAGAAAAGAAGACAGCUGAGGUCCACUAACAUCUCUAAAGGCUCAAAAGGAGUAGGCUCUCCAGAUUCUGUCACUGCUGAAGAGACCCCCCAAAGUCACCCUGCUGGGAAACAUACCCUGGGCGGCCACAGGUAGCACUGCGUGACCUGGGGCAGGUUACUUCACUCUCCUGACCUCAGUUCCAUCCUUUCUAAGAUGGGGUAAUGACAGUGCAUUAAAUGAAAUGAUGAAAUGAAAUAAUAUAUCUAAAUUCCUGGCUCAAACUAAGGGCCCAAUAACCAUUAGCUAUGGUGCUGCAUGCUCAGUUCUUUUCUCUCUAAAAUGGAAUUGGGACAGUCGCCUUCAUACCUUUGCUGCAGUGAGUGAGCCACAAAGUCAACUGCACGUGUUGGGAAUCGGUAUUCCACGCAAGGCCACUGCCUUCUCAAAGCUCCUUGAAAAAUGCUUUACCAGACUAGCUUGGUUCUUGCUGGCCUAACUAAGAUCACAGUUGAGUAAAAGGUGUAGAAGUUGAUGAUGGAAGGCCUGGCUCAGAUCACUGAUUUUGAGUCUCAGGAGAAGUUCCUCACCAGACAACGCUCUCCUCCUCUUAAAGCUGGAAGGACAGAUCCCCCAUGGUUGGGGUCAUGGAAGUGGGUAUUUUCCCCAAAUUUCUCCUCCCUGGACCAGUUGGAGCCUUCUAGGUGUGAGACUGCCAGGUGCCUACAUGGACAUGAUUUCUGCUCAGAGACAUAGCCAGCCUGUGAGGAAGCUAUUGGUCCCCUUGGUCUCACAGAGCAAGAGAGUGAGGCUCAGAGUUAAGGAGCUGCUCCAACCUCACCCAGCCGCCCUGGGCCUGCGCUGGGAUUCAGGCCCAGAUCUGGUGCUGCCCAGGCGUGGCCCCAUGUCACUAGAGCAGGACCUUCUUGCUUCUUUGUUAACACAGAGCCCAUUCAUGAUGGCUGGUCACCAGCCUCCAAGACCAAAAAGAGGAACCCUGCCACUGCCUCCAUACUCCCCACCACUGCUGAAGCAAUCCCUUCACCCAAAGACACAAGCAGAAACUUUUCAGGGUCUGCUUCUCUUGUUCCCAGGAAUUAACCAAGUGUGUCCACCUUGAGGACAGAAGAGGCAGCAGGAAGAUCAGGGUGGUAGUUGAAGAAGGCCUAGGUGAGACGCCAGACUCAACUGUUCCUAUAGAGCGAUGGCCUCCAACCUUUGGAAACUGCAGCGGCAAUUUUGGAGGCAAUGUUCAAAUACAGUCAUGUGCCAUGUAACAACGUUUCUGUCAACAACAGACUGCAUAUACCAUGGUGGUCUCAUAAGAUUAGUACCAUACAGCCUAGGUGUGUGGUAGGCUAUACCAUCUAGGUUUGUGUAAGUACACUCUAUGAUGUUCGCACAGCGACAAAAUUGCCUAACAAUGCAUUUCUCAGAAUGUAUCCUCAUUGUUAAGUGCCGCAUGACCGUAUAGCGUAAAGACCACCAGUUUAACAUCUAAUCCUGAGAUAGAAAUUUAUGUGCAUUCCUAGUCCAGCGUUUCUAAAAGUUAUUAAGUGGCUUUAAGUGUCCUACCCAAACAUUUUUCCAAGGAUGACUGUCUAAAUGUCCCCAGAGAGACUUUUCUGAGUUCUUGAUUCCUCUGAAUUUGUUGCAAUAAAGAUAAGGUGGAAAUAUUGAAGAGGUCAAAAAAGAACGUUGGAAGAACAGAUCAUCUUGUGUUUUCUAGAAAUGUCCUAUUUUUAUUUGCUGUCACAUCAGAUAUCAUGCCAGAUGGCUUUUACUUUGAUUUGAGUCAGACCACCUGGGUCAGGAUCUUGGCUGUGGCACUGGUGGGACGUGGGAAAACCUAUUUCAUCUCUGCAUCUUAGUGUCAAGCAUUCCCAAAGCAGCAGUGC
This is a long non-coding RNA of Diceros bicornis minor, 2044 nucleotides long. RefSeq lists it as uncharacterized. The transcript has 3 exons. NCBI's taxonomy places the organism in Eukaryota, Metazoa, Chordata, Mammalia, Perissodactyla, Rhinocerotidae. The record is from RefSeq and is a predicted model, not a curated record.